CGGACGGGUGAGUAAUGUCUGGGAAACUGCCCGAUGGAGGGGAAUAACUACUGGAAACGGUAGCUAAUACCGCAUAACGUCGCAAGACCAAAGAGGGGGACCUUAGGGCCUCUUGCCAUCGGAUGUGCCCAGAUGGGAUUAGCUAGUAGGUGGGGUAACGGCUCACCUAGGCGACGAUCCCUAGCUGGUCUGAGAGGAUGACCAGCCACACUGGAACUGAGACACGGUCCAG
This 232-nucleotide ribosomal RNA is filed under the name uncultured bacterium. Its description in RNAcentral is "partial 16S ribosomal RNA". It matches the Rfam family "Bacterial small subunit ribosomal RNA", at positions 99 to 334 of the family's 1533-position model. The record is from RNAcentral.